Molecule: ribosomal RNA, 254 nt
Filed under: uncultured bacterium
Lineage: Bacteria
Description: partial 16S ribosomal RNA
Rfam family: Bacterial small subunit ribosomal RNA
Source: RNAcentral
UACGUAGGGUCCAAGCGUUAUCCGGAAUUACUGGGCGUAAAGCGUGCGUAGGCGGGUGCUUAAGUGCAAUGCGAAAUCCUGUGGCUCAACCAUAUGGACUGUAUUGCAUACUGGGUACCUUGAGGAAUGCAGAGGCAAGUGGAAUUACCGGUGUAGCAGUGAAAUGCGUAGAUAUCGGUAGGAACACCAAUGGCGAAGGCAGCUUGCUGGGCAUUAUCUGACGCUAAGGCACGAAAGCGUGGGGAGCGAACAGG